GCGGGCCGCGGCUGCGGGGGUUGGUCAUGACUGGCUACAGUCUGUGAACAUAUAACAUGCAGUGUUGCACAAGUGGAGGUUUUUGCCACAAGUUGUGUGAGAAACUUGAUAGAAGUCAUGUGUGAGGAACUGAGAGGGAGACGAGAUGGUGGCCCCACGCUGAGAGGCCUGCAGGAUCAGCUAGAGUGCCAUGGCCUCAUCGUAGUUCACAGCGACUCAGACUCCUGCUUUAGCCUCCUGAGUAGCUGAGACCACAGGCAUCUUGACUUUCAUACUUUUGCUAAGGACUAUCCAGAGUGUUUUUGGUGGCUGGUUGGGAACUGUCUAAAACAGAAGGUCUUCUUGGUUCCUCUGUCAGUACAAAAGAUUAAACUCUACAGAAGAGCACAAUCAAGUGAUGGCUUUUUUUUAGAAUUUGAAUAUGGAGGCCACGGGAACAGAUGAAGUUGAUAAGCUAAAAACUAAAUUUAUAUCUGCUUGGAACAACAUGAAAUAUAGUUGGGUAUUGAAAACAAAGACGUAUUUUAGUAGAAAUUCCCCUGUAUUACUACUUGGAAAAUGUUACCAUUUUAAAUAUGAAGAUGAAAAUGAAAUGUUAUCUGCAAGAUCAGAAUGUACAAUAGAAGAUCACGUAAUUGCGGGAAAUGUAGACGAAUUUCGUAAAGAUUUUAUUUCUAGAAUAUGGCUGACUUACAGAGAAGAAUUUCCUCAAAUAGAAGGCUCAGCUUUGACAACAGACUGUGGUUGGGGUUGUACGUUGAGAACUGGCCAGAUGCUGUUGGCUCAAGGACUCGUACUACACUUUCUUGGUAGAGCUUGGACCUGGCCUGGUGCUUUGAAUAUUGAAAAUUCAGACACUGAAUCAUGGACUUCCCACACUGUAAAAAAAAUUACUGCAUCAUUUGAAGCAUCGCUUUCAGGGGAAAGAGAACUCAAAACCCCAACAAUUUCUCUGAAGGAAACAAUGAGGAAAUAUUCUGAUGAUCAUGAAACGCGAAAUGAGAUUUAUCACAGGAAAAUCAUCUCUUGGUUUGGUGAUUCCUCCUUGGCUUUCUUUGGCUUGCACCAACUAAUAGAAUAUGGAAAGAAAUCUGGGAAACAAGCAGGAGAUUGGUAUGGACCAGCUGUGGUUGCACACAUUUUAAGAAAAGCAGUUGAAGAAGCAAAACAUCCUGAUUUACAAGGACUAACGAUUUAUGUUGCCCAAGAUUGUACAGUUUACAAUUCUGAUGUAAUUGAUAAGCAGAGUGCUUCCAGGACCUCUGGUAAUGCAGAAGACAAAGCUGUUAUUAUUCUGGUUCCAGUUAGACUUGGUGGGGAAAGAAGCAACACUGACUACUUAGAGUUUGUAAAGGGUAGUUAAGCCUUGAAUAUUGUGUGGGUAGUAUUGGUGGCAAACCUAAACAGUCAUAUUACUUUGCUGGAUUUCAAGAUGACAGUCUGAUUUACAUGGAUCCUCAUUACUGCCAACCUUUUGUACAUGUCAGCGUAAAGGAUUUCCCUCUCGAGACAUUCCACUGCCCUUCUCCCAAAAAGAUGUCAUUUCGAAAAAUGGAUCCGAGCUGUACAAUAGGAUUUUACUGUCGAAAUGUUCAGGACUUUGAACGAGCAUCUGAAGAAAUCACCAAGAUGCUGAGAAUUUCCUCUAAGGAGAAAUAUCCCUUAUUUUCUUUUGUAAAGGGUCAUUCCAGAGACUAUGAUUUUACAUCUACUACAACCAAUGAAGACCUUUUCUCAGAGGAGGAAAAGAAAAGAUUAAAAAGAUUUAGCACAGAAGAGUUUGUAUUGCUUUAAAGAUUAGCACAAUUGUGCUCGAUGAGAAGAACUCCUUUGAAAGAGGAAAAAUGAAGAGAAAUGAGAAACAAGUAUACUGGAAACUGCUUAUUUUCACAAAUAUCUUACAUUUUCUUUAAUUUUCUGUGUUCUUUAUGAAAAGAGCAUUUGAAAAUAUACAAGUUUGAAAUAUUUUUCUACAAGAGAAAUGAUUUAAUGAGUCUUGCUCUCUAAUAAAUAUCAAGCGAUUCUCA
This is an RNA transcript of Nycticebus coucang (slow loris), 2027 nucleotides long. It is a transcript of the gene named cysteine protease ATG4C-like, with no coding region annotated. The record is from RefSeq and is a predicted model, not a curated record. NCBI's taxonomy places the organism in Eukaryota, Metazoa, Chordata, Mammalia, Primates, Lorisidae. The transcript has a single exon.